UAAUUAGUUAUCACUACUACUUUAAAACGUGAUGAGUUUAGUGGAUUACACCUAACAUAAGGCUGUAAAAUAUUGCUUCCUACAAUCUUACAAAUGUCUGAUUAGAAUAUUGUGCCUAUAUCGUUACUGUUAUAUAUUUUUUAUUGAAAUAUAUAUGUGUAUAUAAUAGGAUAUCUCACGAUGUAUCAACAAGUAUUAGUGACUGAUACAGAUAAUUUAAGAUGAUAAGGUGUUGAUGAAGGUGGAGUGUUCUUAGAUAGUGGCAUGGAUGUUUGUUGGUUAAAAACCAUGGACUUUAAGUUGGUCAGGUUUGGCCAGACCUGACUUUGUUAGCCACUGGCAUAUAUUUUCUCGCUGGUCCCCCUGCAGCUGCAACACCUCUCCGUACUCCGGGUGUUCGAUUACUGUCCCAUUGCAGGCGAACUCCUAAAACUUUUUACAUGCUCUCACUAUUUUCUUCAAGUCAUAUUCAGAUGAAAGUCCUUGUACUGUUGUUAAGGUCUUACGACCAUUCCGUUGCUGGAUCCUUAUAUGCACGAGACCGUCUUGGACAUCAUCAUCUGAACCCUUGAUUGCAUCUGCAAAGGGGUCUGCAAAAGAAAGCAAAUAUUAUGUUAAAUACUAAGAAAUUUUUCAUUUAACUGAUAAAUCAUCAUCUGAAACAAACAACUUUCAAAAUGAAAACGAUAGAAAUGUUAAUUGCGUACUAUGAUGCAAGCAAAAGACGCCAUCGCCAUUUUGAUAAAACUAUCUUCUACAAUAUGAUCAGUACUACAAAAUAGAAAAUAUUAUAUUUACCGAAUGUGUUAAGAUUCUGGAUGGACAUACGACAAACAAAAUAUAUCCCCGGGAGAUAUAGAACUGCAAAGUGCAAAUGCAGCUGUGAAAAAUUACGGAUGACGCAGGAUAACAGAAGCACCACGCAAGAAUACUGCUAAACCCAAAAAACCUUGUGCAGAAGCUGAAGUCAACCGGAAGUAAAAGUUGCAUUUGUCAUGAACAGUGGGUGGGGUUGCGCAUGCGCUCUUUCAACAAGUAAGCGUCGUUUACAUGAAAUAAAUGUUGCAUUAUUUGAUUGGUAAAACUAGACGAUAUAUUGCAUAAAAUUUCAUGUGUAUAAGUUUAAUCAUUUCUUCCAUAGAAGCAG
RNAcentral lists this unclassified non-coding RNA (1147 nucleotides) under Bombus terrestris (buff-tailed bumblebee). RNAcentral describes it as "misc RNA ENSBTSG00005021046.1". The record is from RNAcentral. Lineage: Eukaryota; Metazoa; Arthropoda; Insecta; Hymenoptera; Apidae.